CGAACGGGUGAGUAACACGUGGGCAACCUGCCCAAAAGAGGGGGAUAACACUUGGAAACAGGUGCUAAUACCGCAUAACCAUAGUUACCGCAUGGUAGCUAUGUAAAAGGUGGCUAUGCUACCGCUUUUGGAUGGGCCCGCAGCGCAUUAGCUAGUUGGUGGGGUAAAGGCUUACCAAGGCAAUGAUGCGUAGCCGAACUGAGAGGUUGAUCGGCCACAUUGGGACUGAGACACGGCCCAAACUCCUACGGGAGGCAGCAG
Molecule: ribosomal RNA, 261 nt
Filed under: uncultured bacterium
Lineage: Bacteria
Description: partial 16S ribosomal RNA
Rfam family: Bacterial small subunit ribosomal RNA
Source: RNAcentral